This 1869-nucleotide ribosomal RNA is filed under the name Pontastacus leptodactylus (narrow-clawed crayfish). RNAcentral's name for it is "bacterial LSU rRNA". It matches the Rfam family "Bacterial large subunit ribosomal RNA", at positions 720 to 2824 of the family's 2925-position model. The record is from RNAcentral. Lineage: Eukaryota; Metazoa; Arthropoda; Malacostraca; Decapoda; Astacidae.
ACCAGGUGAUCUAUCCAUGAGCAGGGUGAAGUAAAGGUAAUACUUUAUGGAGGCCCGAACCAGUAAACGUUGUAAAGUUUUUGGAUGACUUGUGGAUAGCGGUGAAAUUCCAAACGAACCUGGAUAUAGCUGGUUCUCCCCGAAAUNNNNNGGAUGUUGGCUUAGAAGCAGCCAUCAUUUAACGAGUGCGUAACAGCUCACAAGUCGAGGGAUUCUGCGCCGAAAAUUUAACGGGGCUAAAACAUAUUACCGAAGCUAUGAAUUUAUGCAUUAAAUUGCGUGAGUGGUAGGGGAGCGUUCCAUACUGGGAUGAAGUCAGACCGUGAGGACUGGUGGACUGUAUGGAAGUGAGAAUGCCGGCGUGAGUAUCGAUUGGAGGUGAGAAUCCUCCACGCCGAUUGAGCAAGGUUUCCUGGGGAAGGUUCGUCCUCCUAGGGUUAGUCGGGACCUAAGGCGAGGCCGAAAGGCGUAGUCGAUGGACAACGGGUUGAUAUUCCCGUACCGACGUAUAGAGGGAUGGAAUGACGGAGAAGGCUAAGUAAAGCACGCGAUCGGAAGUGCGUGUCUAAGCAGAUGAGGUGUCAGUGUAGGUAAAUCCGCACUGUGAUACAUUGAGCUGUGAUGGGGAGCGAAACCUUAGGGUAGUAGCGAAGUUACUGAUGUCAUGCUUCCAAGAAAAGUUUCUACUGUUAAUCUAUACGUUGCCCGUACCCAUAACCAACACAGGUGCUCAAGGAGAAUAUCCUAAGGCGAGCGAGAUAAUUGGAGCUAAGGAACUCGGCAAAAUAACCCCGUAAGUUAGCGAGAAGGGGUGCUGGUAGUGCUUGCACGUAAGCCAGCCGCAGAAAAGAGGUCCAGCCAACUGUUUAUCAAAAACACAGCUCUCUGCUAAAACGUAAGUUGAAGUAUAGGGGGUGACGCCUGCCCGGUGCCCGAAGGUUAAGGGAAUCUGUUAGCAUUAGCGAAGCAGUGAACUGAAGCCCGGGUGAACGGCGGCUGUAACUAUAACGGUCCUAAGGUAGCGAAAUUCAUUGUCAGGUAAGUUCUGACCCGCACGAAUGGUGUAAUGAUCUGGACGCUGUCUCGGCUUCAAGCUCGGUGAAAUCUUAGUCCCUGUGAAAAUGCAGGGUAGACGCAGUAAGACAAUAAGACCCCGUGAAGCUUUACUACAACUUCAUAUUGGGUUUUGAUACAACAUGUACAGGAUAGGAAGGAGACUUUGAAGCUAGGACGCCAGUUCUAGUGGAGUCGCCGUUGGGAUACUUCUCUUGUUGUAUUGGAACUCUAACUCGCACCCCUUAUCGGGGUGGAGGACAGUGUGUGGUGGGUAGUUUGACUGGGGCGGUCGCCUCCUAAAAAGUAACGGAGGCGCACAAAGUUACACUCAACACGGUCGGAAAUCGUGUGUAGAGCGCAAAAGUAAAAGUGUGAUUGACUGUGAGGCUUACAAGCCGAACAGGUACGAAAGUAGGUUUUAGUGAUCCGCCGGUUCUGUAUGGAAAGGCCGGCGCUCAACGGAUAAAAGUUACUCCGGGGAUAACAGGCUUAUCUCCCCCAAGAGUUCACAUCGACGGGGAGGUUUGGCACCUCGAUGUCGGCUCAUCACAUCCUGGGGCUGGAGCAGGUCCCAAGGGUAUGGCUGUUCGCCAUUUAAAGUGGUACGUGAGCUGGGUUUAAAACGUCGUGAGACAGUUUGGUCCCUAUCUGCCGUGGGCGUUGGAAGUUUGAGUGGACCUGCUCCUAGUACGAGAGGACCGNNNNNAGGUUGUCCUGCCAAGGGCACGGCCGAGUAGCUAUGUAUGGAAUCGAUAAGAACUGAAAGCAUCUAAGUUCGAAGCGAACUCCAAGACUAGAAUUCCCACUCUUUAU